RNAcentral lists this long non-coding RNA (35308 nucleotides) under Triticum aestivum (bread wheat). RNAcentral describes it as "long non-coding RNA (TAES_LNC019967)". Lineage: Eukaryota; Viridiplantae; Streptophyta; Magnoliopsida; Poales; Poaceae. The record is from RNAcentral.
UCAACUCGUACGCCAUCUCGAGGUUUGCCACGAUGUCUGACAUGGCUGGUCGGUCCUUCCCGUCCAACUUCACACAACAUCGUGCAGUAUGUGCUACCUGCUCCAGCGCCUUGAGCUGCCCUGCCGUUGGCUCCGGCACCGGACGCCUGUCUAGCAACUCCUCAAAUUUACCUGCCUCGAUUAUUGGCACUGCGAAGGAUGCCAAUCCUGCUCUCAUCCUAUAAUCCCCUUGUGAUAAUGCCUCUUUUCCUGUUAGAACCUCCAGCAUCACCACUCCCAGGCUGUACACAUCGCACGCCGGCUUCAGAAGACAAUGCAUGGCGUACUCAGGGGCGACGUACCCAAGUGUGCCUGCAACGCUUAGAGUCAUUCCUUCCUCCUCACUCGCCAUGUCCCAGACGAUAGACGCGCCAAAGUCUGUCACACGUGGCACCCAACUAGCAUCGAACAUGAUGUUAGUUGACUUGAUGUCCCGGUGGAUGAUCGAUGGGUUGGCAUGACAGUGUAGGUGUUCAAUGGCGCGUGAUACGCAGAGUAGCACAUCGGCCCGCAUCUUCCAGGACAUUGUCACCGGCGACAGCGAAGAGGUGCCGGCCUGAUCACCGUGCAGGUGGUCGUAGAGCGUGCCAUUCUCCAUGUACUCGUAGACAAUAAACCUCUCCAGCACUUCCGGCUCCUUUCUCCACCUAGUUAGCAGGCCCUUUUUCUUCUUUUGCGGGGUGGUUAGCAGGUGCUUGUCCAUACUCACAGUAACACACGAUCCAAGGAGGCGGACAAUGUGUUUGUAUUGGAGCCGUGAUAGGAUGUUGAGCUCUGUGUGGUAAUCUUCUACAGCGCGCCGAUGGUUAUAGAUGAUGUGCUUGAUGGCCACCUCUCGCCCAUCCGAAAGCCUGCCCGUGUACACCGUAGCAAAGCCGCCGCAACCAAUCUUAUUAUCAAGGGCGAAGUUAUUGGUGGCAGCCAUGAUCUCCACCAACGUGAAUUCCUGGGUUUCAUGCAGCGGUACCUCUUGUGCCACCUCUGUAGACCCCUGAAAAAGAGACCACAAAUAAACAGUGACAAAUACCGUUCAUGACCAACAUACAUAUCAUCAAUUUCUGUAAUUUGUAUUGAGGUUGUACAUACCUGCCGAUGUGGAAGCGGAGACGGUUCAACACUGGUGGAGUCAUUUGGGACAAGGACAUUGUAGAUCCGUUCGAGGCGGCGCGUGAUGCCGAUGUGGCUGAUCACGGGAAACACGAUGAGGUAGGAGUCGAUCUUGCUCUGGACCUCCCUGAAUCUUUCGGCCGUCCUGCCGGCCAUGACAAACUGGUACGCCGCGCUCCUUCCCUGGCAGGACAAAACGAGCUCAUGGGCGUCCCGGAGUGUAUCCCCCAGCCCGGCCAGCGGCUCCGCCGCCUCUGGCUCCUGCACAUGCGGCAACAGCUGCGCGAUCAUGAGGACCCGACGCGCGAGCUGCUCGCACUCACUCUUAUUUUGCCGAGCCGUAAGCGCAGACUGCAAGAUCAUGGAGACGAGCCCGCCGACGUCUGCUCCGACCAGCUGCGCCACUGUCGCCGCUUGCCCUAGCCCAGUCCACAGCGCCAUGGCUUGAAAGGAUGGCUCCGGUUUGCUGCUCCUUGGUUGCCGUGAAACUUCUGCAGCGGAGAUAGAAGAGAUGAGUACAAAGACGCAAGGUCAUAGCACGCACGCCGGCACACAGCAAGCGCGCCUGCAGAUCACACAGCAAGUGCAAAGCAUGCACGCCGGCCGGCAGCACAAAUUCAAGCACACAGCACACACAGCAAGCACGCUCGCACACACGCAAACAUAUCUCAACUCUUCCCGCCUUCUUCCCCGCCAGGCCGCAGCGCCCUAAACUCCGGUCGCCGUCGCGCCGCUAGCCGCUGCCGCCACGACACAAAGGAUGCGAGAGCAGAUAUGGGGGAGGCCGGGGCGAGAGAGUGAGAUUGGAGGCUGACCUCUGGCGCCGUUUGACGCCGUCGUUCGCCAGCCGCCGCCACAACUCGCGCGCGACAGUGAGGAGAGGUAGCGUCCGUGCGCCGUGGUGUGUCAAGCCGUUGAACCGGCUUUGUGGUCGUGGUUUGCGGGGCGAUGGUUGCUUCCUGGAAACUCCCAGGGGCACUGCUGCUCCCACGCGGGUACCGGAGACCGACCACGGUCCCGCGCCCCACCGUCCAUCCACAAAGUUUCUUCCUGCCUUAGAGCAUCUACGGAGUACAACCGAAAGGGGCUAAUCUGGCCCUCUAUAGAUCCGCAAACAUUGUUCGGGUCUUCAUUUCAAGUCUUCAGUACCUUUUUUUGGAAACAUUCGAUCUGUUCAUCUUAAAUCAUGACGGUAUGACGAACACCAGAAUUAACAAAAAAUAUAUCCAGAUCGGUAGACUACCUAGCGACGAGUACAAACAUUGAAAUGAGCCGAAGGAGCGCUGCUGUCAUCGCCCCUCCCACCGGAGUCGGGCAAAAUUUGUUGUAGUAAAUAGUUAGGAAGUCGUCGUGUUAAUGCCCCAUUGAAUCAACACUCAAGAACAGAAACCGCCGCCGAUGAAUAGUAGAGUAGAUCGGAAGAAUCCAAGCUGAAAACAGAAGAACGUAGACAGACGAUGAACAAAUCCGAGUAAAUCCAUCAAGGACAGAUCCAUCGAAGACACACAUCCACACGCCCGCUGCCGGCGCUAAACGCACCACUGGCAAGGGCCUUAUUCCAUCUUCAGGGAGCCGCCGUCGUCUCGCCUUCCUAAGUUGGACACAAACCCUAAUAAAUCUCGAAGACACAUCUAAAAACGAAGUCCUCUCACCGGUAAGGGCCGGGAUCUGCCGCGCUCCCAUGACCCUAAGGUCAACAGAGACGAGGCGGACUGACGCCGGCAUCAGUGGUAGGUAGAGGAACCCUAGUUGGGGAGGAGACGGCUGCCUGAGGAGUCACGUAGGUAAGGCAAACCCAAAGCUCAAGCCUUCAGUACUUCUCCAUUCGUGUCCCCUUGCUCUUUGUUUCAAAGUGUCUGGUCACAUAAAUAUAAAAGAUGCGGAUGAAGAAAAAGAAAAUAAAAAAUUAAGAAAAAUAAAGUGGUUUGGGUAAGCCUCUAUGUGGCGGUUUGCCUGAACACACCUAAACACCCUUAUAUCUUCCUCACAUAUGAGUUCGAUAUGAGAGGUGCCCGAUAACACCUAGACAUAUAUGGAUAUUUGUGGUGUCCGGUUGAAUUGCAUUUUUUCUUACCUCUCCUGUCCAGGUAUUGUCCUUAUUGUCUGCCCGGAUGUAAAGAGAGAAAGUGUGAGUCCGGUUAUACAUGCCCCUAGAUCAACACGCUUUGCAUAUAUACUGUAGAAAGAUUAUCUAAUUCGUUAAAUAAUACUUACUAGAAGUAAAGGCAAAGGUUCUCAUUAGUAACUCGCAAAAAAAAGGUUCUCAUUAGUUGUUCAGUUUAUGGCCGGGUCGUUCAUAAGAAAAUCUUGGUAAGAUUUAAGCAGCUAUUGCAAUAUGUCAGUGUGUUUCGGCCUACUCGCCUCAAUUGAUUGUAACGCCAUUAACGUUCUCAAUCUAUCAGAAUUUCCAUUCUUGUAAUUAAGUCACUUUUUAAUUUAUACCCGUUAGUGUACCUGAGUUCCAUUCAUUGCCCGCAAAAGAAAACUGAGGUCCAUUCAUGUUAAUCAGUCGUUGGCAGAUGGAUCCGCAUCUGGCUAGCUCUUUUCGCCUACCCAGGCCGGCCAUGUGGUCUCGGCUCUCGAACCACUCGGUGAAGCGACAAACUCACAUGCUCCCCACAAACUCAAUGCUCUAAAACGCGUGUGCAAAAAUUAAUUGCCACUAAGAUGAGGUUAUGGUCGAUCGAGGCAUCCAUAAGGUCCAUCAUCACAACGGGCAGAGAGCCUGUUCAUCUCAACAGUAUUUUAAAGCCGUGAUUAGGGGAUCUUUCGAGGGGUAAUUAAGCUCCAUCGCAUGCUUCCUCUGGAGGCCUAACGUGCAUUUGGUUUGAAUUACUAGUUGUAAAGAUUGGAGAACCGUUGAACCCUUUGGUCUCGGGCCGCUUUAUAUAUUGAUAAGUUGUCGUGGGUUACAAGUUUUGGGAGGUCCCUAGAAAUCCUCCAGAGUUCAUACACGAGAAGGAAAGGAGAUUACAAAGAGAGAAGGAGUUGGACAGAAGAAGAGAUAGAUGAGUUUGAAAGAUAAACGAAUAACACUAUCUAACUAUCUAACACUGGUCACUUAAACUCUAGUUUUGUUGGGUCCAAAAGACACAUGCAUUACUAAUCUGCAGACACAAGUUUUGAUGGAGGAUUCAAGUUUAUCAUGAGUUCGAAACAGGAGUUCAUGAUCCCCUGCCGUGGAACUUGUUAUACGCGAUAGCAAGAAACAACGAUGAACAAAGAAAUCAACCAACGGGGACACGAGAUUUUAACGUGAAAAACCCUUGCGGGAAAAACCACGGGCGCCAGCCAGCAAGACUUCACUAUAUCGCGGGUGAGGUUACAAACGCCGGGGGAUUUACUCAAUGCAACUUAUCCCUCACGGCGGCUUACAAGAGGUAUUUAUAAUAGGUGAACCCUAGUCCAACUCGGUAACAACUCGUACCGUACCGGCGACGGGAGGCCCAAGCCUCCCGGCGACGGGCCUCGCUUCGCUCGGGCCGAAGUUGCCUUUAUCUUUAUUUCUUCUAGGAAUUUGGAUCACCACAAAAAUAACAGAACUUGAUCAGGAGAACCUUGCUUGGUUCUGAAGUCUGAACUGAUGAACUUCGCUGCGCACCUAGGACUGGAGAAGAGAACUUAUCUUUCGACACCUAGCAACGCUGUGUUCGAGGAAGAUGCAAAUGACAAAGCGUUCAUGCAAAUGCAAAACUCAUACACUAUCCACGAGUUUAUCUUGUCCUUUUCAAAAAAAAAUCUUGUCCGUUUCCACGAACUAGAUCACAUGCGCGGCACUUGGCACAAUCCCCAAUGACCCAGAACGUGCAUCCAGCAAACGGUCCCGGCCGGGUUUUGUUGAGGCAACCCACAUUUUCUCACUAAUCUAAUGCUAAUCUCUUGGACUUGCAUGGCACACAAGUGGUCACUACCUAGAGAUCUCUGCUGGGAGAUGCUUAGCAAGCAGCGCAACCUACGAGCGAGGUAGGCAGCAAGCGUACAGCCUGGUCAAUUGAAGUUGUGAAGACUUGGCACAUAUAGAACAACCUAGAGUCUUGUUCUUAUAGAGUUGUUUUUUAAGAGAAGUUAGCUUACUGACGCCGGCAUCGCCGCACAGCUUCACUUUCUAAUGCCACAGUUCGCCUUCUGGCUCUAGCCCCAGCAUCAGUAUUGCCUCUACCAUCACAACCCAUCAACACAAGCAGAGCACCAGCUAAUGGAGGCCACGGUGCUAAGCAUUGGCAAGUCCGUGCUGAAUGGAGCGCUUAGCUACGCCAAAUCUGCUGUGGCAGGGGAGGUGGCUUUGCAGCUCGGAGUCCAGGGUGAUCAGGCUUUUAUCACGGACGAGCUUGAGAUGAUGCAAGCUUUCCUGGAGGCUGCACAUGAGGAGCGAGAUGACCACAAGGUGGUCAAGACCUGGGUGAAGCAAGUCCGCGAUGUUGCCUAUGAUGUUGAUGACUCCCUCCAGGUAGAUAUAAGAGCGAAUAUAUGUGGGUUAAAAUUUUCGCAUCCCUUAGCAUGUUGCUGCAAAAUCCCAUUUAUUUUUUCUUCUUAAUUACUUGCAUUUUUCGGGCAUAAAAAUAUGGGUUAGUUGCUCCAAAAUAUUAUGCAAUAUGUGGCUGCAAAGUAUUCUGACAUAGGAACAAACAUAUGUAUUAGUUUUUUUUAGAAUAAAAUAUCCUAAUUAGUUGGUGAUAGAUCUUAUCUUAACAUCAACUUAUGCUCUGUUAGUGACACAAAUAGAUAAAAUGCAUGGCUGGUGAUAGCUCUUAGAUGAUAAAACUAUGAAGAAUGUUUUUUUUAGAAAAGGGGUAUUACCCCGGCCUCUGCAUCAGAAAGAUGCAUACGGCUCAUAAUUAAAAAACAAAACCAGUCACAAAAAUCUCCAACAUCUGAAGGUACGAAAAGAAAACAAGCUGCUCAAGCGAGCCUAAUCAAGAAGCCACAACCGGCUGGCAAAUAAAAUAGGAGCACUACAUGCCUAUCCUAUUACAUGACCGCCAUCCAAACCGGUUGAAAAUACCCCGAGCUACCAUCUCCGAUCGGGUAGACGCAGUAGCCAAACGCCCCUGGCCUCCGUCGGAGUGAGUAACACUACAAGAAACCUGUUAAUACGUGACGGUGCUAGUCCGUCACAGAUGAGUGUAAAGCUGUCAUGGGUGCCCAUGCAUGACGGACAUGAGGUCCGUCAUGUAUAUCGCGUCAUAAUUUGACAUCGAGCCUUCCUUGACGAUUCUUGACCGUCAUGGAUCUGCCCCAAGCCCGCCCAAGCCCAAACCAUCGUGACGGAACAAGCCGUCAUGGACUGAUGCCACGUUGGAUUUUCGAUUGGCCUGUUGGGAUUAUGUGGCAGUCUAUGUGGACACUACUUUCUGUCACAGAAAUCGUCAGGAAUGUAGGCCCAAUUUAAACUUGGUCUAGAAAAUUUCUUUCGGCCCAAUUUUAACACUGUAUAUUUUCUAGCCAAUUUUGGCCUGAAGAGAAAGUAUUUUCAAAUAGUUCACACAAUAUGUGGCCAUCUGCAUGUAUAUAUUUUUUUUCAAAAAAAAUCUGUGUGUAUAUACAACAUAGCAGCUUACAAAUCCUUCAUGCAAUGAUAAUUUACAGCAUAGAUUCACUAAAUAUAUCACACAACAAGGUUAAUAAGCAGUACAAUCCAAUUUACAUCAACAAAACAUAUAAAAUUUCGAGGCUGUUGUUCAGGUUGUUGUCGUCGACUCUCCUGAUGGCAACUAUCAUGUCAAGGUGCCGAUUAUGAUGGAUAGCACUAUGUAGCCCACUUCCCAAUCAUACCUAGCAUAUUUAAAAGAACAUUAGAUUUUUGCAGAUUGAUAGAUAGUAGAGAAAAGAGUAUUACAACAAAUUUAAAACAUGAAUUACAUGUCCACUUGGCCAACAUUGACAGUACUUUUACUUAUAACAGGAAACAAUAAUGAAACAAAGCAGUAUAUUUGUAUAGAAGGUGACAACAGUAUGAACAAGGCUUCCAUGUGUAUCAAACUUUCAUUAGCUUGCACAACUACAAAUUUAAUUUAUUACAUGGCUUACAAAUUACUUCAUGGUUAUUAAGGUACAAGCUAAAUCAUAAAACAUGAACACCAGCUGAACAUAAUACUUGUAAAAGUGUAGAUUCAGGAAAUAAAAAAUUAUGGGAUAGUAGUUCUAGUAAUAACUUCCUGGCAAAAAAAUUAAGAGCAUAAGCUGCUAUACUUUCUUUUAUUUAAGUUGGCAAUAAAAGAUCAAAACUACACUAGGAAAAACAAAUGCAACAAUUGAAAUUAUGAAAACAAAACACUAAAUAGUACUUGACUGACAAGCAACAGAGAAAUAUUAUAUAUUUUGGAUCUGUAAUAAAUAUCAAGAAACUUACACAAGACCAUUGCCUGUAAUAUCAAAUUCCAUAUGGAUACAAAACCUAUUUGAAGCUGGUUCCUGGAGUUCCUUCCAGAUAGCAACAUUAGCCCUUGACAAUAACAGCAAGACAUGCUAUAAUGCAAAUAUUUAAUUAUAACUGAAUAGAAGGAAGAUGCAGAUAGAACUUUUGAUAUAUGAAUAGCUGCAAGGGUGUUGGGCAUCAAUAACACUUUUAACAUUGGUAAGUGUCAAGGAUUUAUCCUCAAAAUGCAAAUCUUGUAUAUGGAUAAAUACAACUCUGUAUUCAGGCAUUGACAAAUCAAUAUCACACAAAACAUAUGAUGGCUACUUUCACCACAUAACACAGAGAAAGUUUGCAUAUAAUUUAGAAUAGAGAAGCAGUGUAAGAGCAGACGUAGUUAACAAACAAUCUUACUCCUAGUCACUCGAUUGAGUGAGAAUAAUGAAAUACUUUGAGAUCAAAACAGUAAACAGAAUAUGCCACAAUGUUAAUACCGUAACAAAAUCAUGUCUUCAAGGACUAUUUAACAGAACAGGCAUUGCAAUAUAUUAAUACUGUGAGACAACAUCUACAAAAAAUCAUAUGAACAAACAAGUCGACAUGCAGUAAACAGGCUUUGAUUGCUUACAAUAGAAGAUCAUUUUCAACAAUAACAACAUCUACAAAAAAUCAUAUGAAACAAACAAGUCGACACUGCAGUAAACAUGCUUUGAUUACUUACAGUAGAAGAUCAUUUUUAAGAUUCUGGAAUAUGACUAAGUAGUAUAUAGUUGAUUGAGUAAAAACCACAGGAUAUCCACAAUCAAUGGAUGCAUGGAGGAAUGUAACAAGAGAACUUGUCUAGCCACUAACCAGGAUUUCAGUAAAAAGAAUCAGUCAUUGUGUGAUGUUCUUUUACUUUUAGAAUUUGCUCUUGGACCAUUUGAGAGUACAAUUAAGUCUGGUACUCUGGAAAAAAAUUAACAGCAACUAAGCAAACAAUAUAGAACUAUGGAAUCCAAGAAAGUUUGAACAAAACAAGUACGAACUGCAUCAUCCUUGACGCCAAAAAAAUGACAGUCUUAUCUAACAAGACGCCAAGUACGGAAUUCAUAAUCCUUGAGACCAAAAGGAGUUAUGAAAUAUUCACAAAUGUAGGCAAAAAUUCCGGGCAGUGGUAUAAAACUUCUAACAGAGAGAAUCAAGUCAUGACAGUCUUAAGGCAGGAGCAUAUACUGCAAUAUAUAAUCAUAUAUGAAACAAACAAGUCAACACUGCAGUAUGCAUGCUUUGAUUUAUGUAAGUAACAAAAAGAACUAAUGCAACAGAUUUAUGUGGUUUUGUUGUACUGUAUAUGUCCAUAGUAUCCCAAAUAGCACAGAUAUUUCACUAGAAAUCACAGAUCCUCAUCACAGAAAUACAUUACCAAUUUUGUUUGGAACUAGUGCAUGUAUGCAGAAUGAAAAACAUUGUGGAAAAGAGGGUACGAAGAGAAGCAAAGCCUCACCGGAUCUUGAGGAGGAGCACGAGGAAGAGGUGUCGUGGGAGAGAGGGGUGGCGACGACAGCCUCCCCUCACUUACGGUGGCCUCCAGGGGGUUGUCGGCGAGAUCCAGGAGGAGGACGUCAUUGGCACAUGAGCAUCGCAAGAUCCCAUGGUCAGCUUGCGUUCGGACGUCGCCGUCCUCCCUCUACUGCUGCUCGACCCCAUCCUCUUGUCCUCCUUGUUCCAUCCUCCCCUGAGCGGCUGAGGAUGCGGUGGCCAUCAUCAUGGCGGUUGACGGUGGUGGCUGUCCGGAUCUGAAAAAGUGGUAAGAGAUGUGAGGGAAUAGUGUUGCGGCAGUUGACGGUGUGCUGGUCAUCAUCGUGGAUCGAGAGAGGAAGGGGAGUGUCGGCGGAAGGCUGUGGGAGGAGGGAGGUGAGGAGGUGAGGAGGGAGGCAAGGAGGUGAGGAAGGGGAGGACCGGCGAAGGGCUGCGGGAGGAGGAAGGCGAGGAGGUGAGGAAGGGGAGGGCGGCGAAGGGCUGCGGGAGGAGGGAGGCGAGGAAGGGGAGGGCCGGCGAAGGGCUGCGGGAGGAGGGAGACGAGGUGGUAGGUGGCGGUGAUGAGGAAUUAGGACGGGGCUGCCGACGAGGAAGAGAGGAGGGGCAGAGGACGAGGGUUAGGGUUAGCAUUUUAUAUGGGUAAAGAUUAGAUGGGCUUUAGCGGGCUUGGGCGGGCUUGCGGGGCUAUACCACACCGUCCAUUACGUUUUUGAAAACGUUAAUAAAAAUCCGUCAUGUAUUAACAAAUUUCUUGUAGUGUAACGACCACAUACGGAUCAAUGCUGUGGCCCUGAAGAUAACCUGCAAAAAGUGAAAGUUUGUUUUUCUGUUAAAAACCAAAUCAUUUCUGCAGUUCCAUACUGCCCAUAACAAGGCACACACUCCGACACGAAUGUGUCUUGCUACAUCCAAGUUAACCCCAUCAAGCCAUGUUCCAAGUAACAUAUUGAUAGAGGUAGGUGGAGUAAUAUUAAAAGCAAUAUGAAUCGAACGCCAAAGAAUCUUAGCCAGCGGACAAUCUAGAAAGAGGUGCCUUAUAGUUUCGUUACAAUCACAAAAGCUACACCUAGCAGAACCCAUCCAAUUGCGUUUUGCCAGGUUGUCUUUUGUCAAAAUGACUUGUUUAUGCACAAACCACAUAAACACUUUGAUUCACAAAGGUACCUUAACUUUCCAGACGUGCUUCGAGCAAGGAAUGACACCAGUGUUUAUGACAUCCAGAUACAUGGAUUUGACCGAGAACCUGCCGUCCUUAGUCAGUUUCCAAGACAAUCUAUCUGGCUGCUGAGACAGCUGGACAUCCAUCAACCUUCGUACAAGAUGAAGCCAUGCCUCUCAACGAUGGCCUACUAGCGUCCUCCGGAAGCUAAUAUUGAGAGGCGUGGACUGACUAAUUUCAUCAGCCAUAAAUAUGUAUAUGUACUCGAUGCAUCAUGUCCUAGUUUCAUGAUCCGUAUCAUUAGUAUUCCAUUUAAAUAUCUUGAGAUGAAUGCAGUUUCGUCAGUAUUCAGUUGGUAUUUAAUCCAUUGAUAUCCUUACCUUCAGGAUUUCGCUGUUCGUAUUGAAAAAUAUUCCUGGUGGCACAUUCGCACGCUGCUAGACCGGCGCCGUGUGGCCAAGGAGAUGAAGGAUCUGAGAGUCAAAGUGGAGGAUGUGAGCCAAAGGAACGUGCGCUACCGCCUCAUCAGGCGCUCUGGCUCCAAUCCUACCUCCAAUGAUGAACAUGCUAUCAUCAGCACCGAAGUACAACUUCAGAUCGCUGAGGCUACGCGUGCUGCACUGCAGGACAAGAAAAAGGUGAAUCUGGUCAAACUGAUCACUCGAGAUGAAAAUGUUCCUAGUGCCAUUGCAGUGUGGGGAGCAAGCAGUGAUGUUGGGGUCGCAUCCAUUAUUAGGGCAGCCUACAAUAAUCAAGAUGUAAAAGCCAAAUUUGAGUGCCGAGCCUGGAUAAGGCUCACACAUCCCUUCAAUCCAAAUGACUUCUUUGCAAGCUUGGUGAGGCAGUUUUAUGCGGAGUCAUGCAAAGACAAUGUUAAAAGAACAGGGGUGCAGGUUUUGAAGCAGAUGGAAGCACGUGAUAAUUUGGUUGAUGAUUUCAAUCGGUUUGUGACGGACAAUAGAUAUCUGGUUGUUAUUAAUGGUGUCUCUACUAUAGAAGAGUGGGAUUGGAUCAAAACAUACUUCCCGAACAACAAAGGAAGCCAAAUUAUUGUGUCCACUUAGACUUUUGAAGUUGCAAGUUUAUGCACUGAGCAGCCUUAGAUGCUAUCUGAGAUAGAGCAGAACUGGUCAAUCGACAAGGAAUUUUUUGCCUUCUAUAAGAAGGUAAACAUCCUCUUCCUCAAAAUGAGAGAAUUGUGAACAUGCAUAAUUGCUGGAUAAAUUGAUGCUGCGAUAUAUAUACUUGUUACAUUUAAUGGAUAGUUCUUUUCAUUUGUAAAACCAACUAGAUCCAUUGUAAAAAAGUAUUAUGUUUAUGAUAAGUAUGCACAAUUACAAUCGGCUUCGACCAGGCAAAAAGUGUAAGCCAUGUACAUCCUUAUAUAUUUCUCUGUUUUGGUGAUGAAAUUCAUAGGUUUAUUUUCCAUAUAUUUUGGAACGGAUGCAGUACUUCUUUCAGAUGGCCACGUUGAUCUGUGACUAUUGUGCUCGUCAAAGUACAAUUAGUUUUGUCGGCAUCAAACUUCUCUACUUUGACCAAAUUUACAGAGAAAUAUAACAAAUCAUAUCAUUUUACUCAUCGUAAAAAAAUUAUAUUUUAUUUAUUUGGUAUUUUAUAUAUUGAUAUAUUUUGCUAUGAAAUUGGUCAAACAUGGAAAUGUUUGUCUUCCAGAAAAAGUUAUACAUCUUACAUUUUAAACGGACAAAGUGGUGCAGAUUGCUAGAAAUAUUAUCAUGCAUUGGAAACUAGAACUUAACGCAAAUAUAAAUGCAUCUUGGAGGGAAGUAUGCCCCCUAAGUGUUUCUUGGUGUUCAGGUGGACGCUGGAACCCAAGAGGAGGACAAGGCUGGAUCCACCUCAACUGAACCUGAGAAGCUCACUCCUGCCUGUGCAAUGGCUGCUGCUUUGGUGGAAGGUGAACUCAUUGACCGAGUGGCAGCAAAAGCGAAACUUAUGGACUUAAUUACUCCUGUGAGUAAUCCAGGUGGUGAGGUGAUUGCCAUUUAUGGAAUGGGUGGACUUGGAAAAACAACUCUUGUGAGAAGCAUCUACCAACAAGAACCUGGUGGCAGGUUUCAGAGGUGCGCCUGGUUAACAGUGUCACGUUCUUUCACCGAGAAGGAAUUUAUGUGGGACUUACUCCAGCAAUUGUUAAGCAAUAAUGAAGAUAAAAGGGAUUUUGUCUCUGGCUCUGGCUUUGGCUCUGGCUCUGGCAAGGAGCCAAUUGUCAAGUUGGCGGAGAUUUUACUUGAACAUAAAUGCCUCAUCGUUUUGGACGAUCUGUGGUCUGUUGGGAAAUGGCAGAGGACAAUGAAGCUCCUGCCGCCACCAAGAAAUGAUGGUUGUAACCGGAUCAUUGUUACCACACGAGAACUGAAUAUUGCUGAAAGUUGUUCUUCCAGAAAGGAGAAUAUAUACAAUCUUGAACUCCUAAAUGAAACGGAUGCUCGUAAGCUAUUUCAAAAGAAGGUACGACCACAAACCAUUGAACUAGUAAAAGUACUGGUUUCAGCUAAUUUAGCUUCUCAUUUUUCUGUUCAACAUGUCUCUUUGCAUAAAAUAUCUUCUAGUCACAUUGUUUAACUUCUCUGUACUUAAAUCAUCUACGAAUAAUUGUGUAAAUAUUUAUUUUUUAUUCCAAGAAAGAAGCUAAACAUAUAUUAAUUAUGUUGCACAUUUUUUAUUAAGUGACACAGGCUAAAAUUAAGAAUAUAAAGCAGGCUCAAACACCUCACUAAACUUGCCUUAUUACCUCAUGGUCACGGAUUGACACUGCAACGGGCGCCAUAGGAAUACAUAAAUGAAAGGACAUAGGCGACGUGCUUUGUGGUACCCAUCUGUAUACAAACGCACUUCAUCUGUAUACAAACAAACUUGUCCAUUCGGCGAGCUAGAACCUCCAUCUGUAUACAAACACACUUGUCCAUGGAUUAAAACUAUGCCAUAGGCGAUAACAUACCUACUCCUUCAUCCCAAGUACUUAUGGUUCCAGAUUUUUCUGAAGUCAAACUUCUAUUAAUUUGAUCAAGUUUGUAAAUAAUUAUUAACAUUCAUAAUACAGAAUAAAUAUACUAUAAACACAUAAUUCAUAAUCAGUCUGGUCGAAUGAGACUAUUUGGUGUUGUAGAAUUUGGUAUGCUUUUAUACAGAGUUAGUCAAACUUGGCGAAGUUUUAUUUGGUGUUGCNNNNNNNNNNNNNNNNNNNNNNNNNNNNNNNNNNNNNNNNNNNNNNNNNNNNNNNNNNNNNNNNNNNNNNNNNNNNNNNNNNNNNNNNNNNNNNNNNNNNNNNNNNNNNNNNNNNNNNNNNNNNNNNNNNNNNNNNNNNNNNNNNNNNNNNNNNNNNNNNNNNNNNNNNNNNNNNNNNNNNNNNNNNNNNNNNNNNNNNNNNNNNNNNNNNNNNNNNNNNNNNNNNNNNNNNNNNNNNNNNNNNNNNNNNNNNNNNNNNNNNNNNNNNNNNNNNNNNNNNNNNNNNNNNNNNNNNNNNNNNNNNNNNNNNNNNNNNNNNNNNNNNNNNNNNNNNNNNNNNNNNNNNNNNNNNNNNUAUAUAUUAGUUCCUUGUGCAUAAUGCCAGGGCAUGAUAACCAUACAAGGCCCCACCAUUUUCAAUGUAUUUGCAAAACUAAUUAGAUCGAGAGCAUCUACACCAACCUAUCACACUUCCUCCAGCACCGCAUUAUCCGAAGACUCGGUUCUUCCUUCCGACCAACUCUCCUGCUGAUACUUUGUCUCAGUCAUCAUCUUAUACACAGAUCUAACCAUGAUAGCACCCAAAUUUUCCUACUGACAUGCCCAUAAUUCCUUUUGCACAAUUGGAAUUUUCCGUGCCACUUCAACGUCCAUUGGCAGCAUAUGCGCCUCUCAUUUGUCGUUGAACAUACCAGUUCAGAGACCAGCGGAAGGUUCUCUAAGGCGGCAAGGUAAAGUUUCUCAGCAGCCAAUUGUCAUCCCAAAUGGUUGUCUUGCACGCAUCACGAGUACUUGAUUGAGCAUAUCCAUCCCUUCACACAGGUCUCUCCAAACUUGACACGGACAAAGUGCAAGCAGUUUUGUGCCACUUCCCUUAGUUAUGUGUUAUGUACCACUGCUUGUAACGGCGGGCGUCUCACACGACGGUGUGUGUAAGCCACACGCCAGCACCUAGCAUAUAUGGUUGUCCCAACCUCCGUCCACAUGCCCAAUGGCAACUAAUCCAGGAAGAAGAGAGCUACAGAAAUCCAACUAUGGCAUUCUCGUCUUCAUUGCCCCACAACACCAUGGCAUAGGAGGCAGUGAGGCACUACCUCUCCUUUUGAGGAAUCGGUAGGAGCAUUGCCUUUUCAUAACAGGACAGGUGAAAUAAUGUACAUAGGGGUACAAAUUUUGUGGGGAACGUAGGGGAGGGGUGGUGGAAGAUUUGUGGCACGCAUAUGCGGGGCACGCACUUUUCUGGGGCGUUGUGGACCACACGAUUGCCUCACAAUUCAGAAAUUUGUUUGGUCUUAGCAUGUGUUUUAGCCCUUAAUUACUGUAGAUGGACUCCAUGCAUGGAACUUUUGGCGAAGAGCCAGAGACUGCAUGCUCCACCCACCUCACCUCCCAUGCUUUUUCUUUUGACUUCCAAAUUCAUAUCUAUUGUAUCUUUUGAACCGAAAGUCAAAUUUGGAAAGAGGGUUGUGCGUUGUGCCUGCACAAGACCACAUCAUGUAUGUGUUGGGCUUGAAGCUGUGGAUCUUCAACGAUAAAGGACAAUUCAUUGAAUUGAUAUAUCGAGUUGAUACAAACGCAUUGAAAGAAUGCCCGACCUCUGCAUAGCAUGAUGCACACAGCCAAUAAGUCCUAACAACCCAAAAAUAAACAUUGGUUUACAUAAAAAAAUAAUACUUCAGUCCAGCCUAUGGUGCCGCAGAUCCAAGCCAGAGAUUACACCGCCAUCCAUGAAUGGAGAAAACCUCCCUGGCCGUAAGCUCCAGCCGUGUAGACGUCGCCAUAAAAAGAUCAAUUUCCUCCGGCAUCUGCAGGAUAGACUAGGUACGGAGCCAUCGCAUACACGCACAAAUAACCUGCACAGGGGAUGAAACACAUUUAUUUAUUAUUAAAAAUCACAUCAUUCCUGGUAAGCCUCAAUGUCAAGCAUAAGACAGCCGCCCCCCGAGAAUAUGUGCAGAAAUUUGUUAAUAAAUACCUCUGAACCAAUUGCCAAGCAUGUUAAGUGCACUACGUGGGGAUAUAGAUUUAAAGCUACUUGAACUAUGUCCCAAACUGAACGAGCGAACUUACACUAAAAAAGAAUAAGUGUUUCAUCGACUCGUUAUGUUGGCAAAAAACACAUGUCUUGCUAUUUUGCCAGUUUCGUCGUGCCAAAUUGUCUCUAAUUAAGAUGACCCCUCUUUUUAGAAACCAGAGGAAUAUUUUCACUCAUAGAGGAAUUUUGAGCUUCUAUAUUUUUCUGUUAUCAACCAAAACAUCAGUACGAACCAUUGCCUCAUGCAAGGAUUUCAUUGAAAACCUGCCGUUUUGAUGCAAAUUCCAUCGAAACUUGUCUGGUUCACCUGACAGCUGAAUGGUCUCCAAACAAAUGAGUAAUUCAUUUCAUGCUACCAAGCGAGGCCCUAGAAGAUCCCUAUGUAAAGAAAUACCAUUGUUUUCUUUGCCCAAAACUUGUUUGAUCGUGACAAAUUUAUGUCUGCCAAUCCUGUACAAGCUAGUGUAUUGCACCAUAACUGGGGUGGCCCCCAGCCAGGUGUCUUCCCAGAAUCAAACCUGAGAACCAUCCCUAACCGAGAAGGUACCAAAUUGGAAGAAGAAUUAUUUGGCCUUCAUCACGCCACAAAAAAAAUGUGAAUCACCUUGUUUCCAAUGAACUUUUCGAUGGUUUUGGACCCCACAUACUUUUUACAAAUGGCAGUGAGAAGUUUGUAAACCCAUUGAGAAGAGUGAUGUUUGUAAUCUCAAGAUCUUGAGUCCCAAGUCCGCCUUGGCUUUUAGGUUUGCGUAAAACACUCCACCCAGCCAACCAAUAUUUCCUAGAUUCCUUAUUGUAGUACAAAAAAAACUGGAUCAAAAGUAAUCGAUACGCUGAAGCACCCCUUGCGGUAGAUGGUAAAAAGACAACAUGUAUAUAACCAUAUUGCUCAAGACAGAAUUAAUCAAUAUCAAUUUCUCCCCAUAUGAAAAGAGUUUGGCCUCCCAAUUGGCUAGACAUUUCUCAAGUUUCUCUUCCAUGUACUUCCACUCAACGAUAGUUCAAUGCCGAUAAUAUAUGGGAUUGCCUAGAUACCGAAUAGGGAACUGCAUGAGCUGGCAGUUGAAAUUUUCAGCAUAACCAGAUGUAGAUUAUGCGGCUUCACCAAAACAGAAAAGUUCGCUCUUAUGGAAACUAAUUUUGGGACCAGAGAGCUCCUCAAUACACAUAGAAGCUGCUUGAGAUUUCUUGCUUUAUCUAGGUCAUGAUCCAUAAAAGGUAUAAUGUCAUCUGCGUAUUGUAGAAUAGAUAGACCUUCUACUAAAUGAGGAAUGACACCGCUAACCUAACUGGACACCUUAGCCCGCUGAACAAGGGUGGCUAACAUAUCGGCCACAAUGUUAAACAUAACAGAGGAUAGGUGUCCCCUUGGCAAAGCCCCUUCGUAGUCUGAAAGUGGUUUCCAAUAUAUCAUGAAAUUUGAUGGCCACACGACCUCCAAAAGCAAAACUUUCUACCUAUCAACACCAUUUUAGUGAAAACCACUUCAUGCAUAAGUAUGCGAAAGAAAGGGCCAUUUGUCUUUACCAUGUCUUUUCGAAGUCUAUUUUGAAGAUGACUCCGCUCAAAUUUUUGAAGUGAAGCUCAUGUAUAGUUUCAUGCAGCACAACAGACUCCAUCUAGUAUGUUGCGUCCUUGCAUAAAAGUUGUUUUGUUUUACCACAUGGUCAAGCACCCUGUUCAACCAAUUAGUUGCAACCUUCGUAAAGAUUUUAAAGCUUGCAUUUACAAGGAAAAUUGGUUGAUAUUGUUGAAUAUGACUAGCCUCCUUAUUCAAGCUGUGGAUUUAGUUAAGCUUUGCAUACCGAGCUAACUUGGGUCGCUCCUUGCACUAGCCAGGGUCACUGUAGAUGUGCGUCCGUUCAAGCUAGCCUUAGAAUUGUUGCAAGCAUAGUUGGCACUUAGCAUGGCGUAUCGCAGGAGACUAGAAGUGAGAUGAUUCCGGACUGGGCAAGAUGGUGAACAACAUAUGUACAAGGUAAGGGCAUAUCCAAGGGCAGUCCUCACACCCCCCUCAAAUGUCCAAGAAGAGAGUCGAGACAUUGUCCAAACGAUGCGCUACAGGAAUCAGAUACUUUGCCGUCCGCCAUGGCGGACGGCAAAGGCAUGGACGGCGGACGGCAAAGGCCUUUGCCGUCAGCCGCGGACGGCAAAAGGCUCCGGCAACGUGGACUACGGUAAACGGGUACUUUGCCGUCUGCCACUGUCGGCAAAGUCUUUGCCGUCCGCCGCGGACGGCAAAAAGAGAGAGGCGGACGGCAAAGACGGCUGACGGCAAUAGUUGCGCCGUCAGUCCGUUAAGUGGCUAACGGAAGGCCUUUGCCGUCCGCCGCUGACGGCAAAAUUUCUAGGGUCUUUGCCGUCCGCCGUAUGACGUCAUCUACACGUCACUACGUGGCAGAUUCUUUGCCGUCGGCCACUGACGGCAAACUUUGCCGUCUGCCACUGUCGGCAAAGUCUUUGCCGUCUGCCACUGUAGGCAAACUGACCAAAUUGGUCAGCUCCCAGGGAGCACAGUUUGCUGCCACGUGGCUUCUUUGCCGUCCGCGGCUGACGGCAAAAAGCCCUUUGCCGUCGGUGGCAGACGGCAAAGAGCCUGCAUAUUGGCUGUUUUAUCUGUUUUUUAUUAAAUCCAACAAUUUUCAUCACAAAUAUAUAUGACAUAUAUAGAUAUAUUUCAAAAGGCCAUUACAGAGCAAACAUAUAAGAUAUCCUCAUCCAACCAUAUAUAUUAAAUGCAUAGUUUCAUCAUACAUAACAAGUUCAACAUAGAGGCAUCCAACCAUAUAUAUUACAAUAGUUUCAUCCUACGAUACAUGCAUAGUUCAACGAUACAAAAGAAACAGAGAAAGGGAUAAGGAGCACUCCAUCUAUGCAAGCUGUCGUCAAGUGAAUGAAAUCUGCAAAAUGAAAAAUAAGAAAGUUAGAACAAGAAGAGUAGAACAAGAAGAAGAGUAGAACAAGAAGAAGACUAGAACAAGAAGACUAGAACAAGAAGAAGACUAGAACAAGAAGAGUAUGUCAUUUAUGAGCUAACUUACGUGAAAUGGAUCAUAUAUGAGCUAACUAAGUUGGAAUGGGUCGUUUAUGAGCUAGCUAAGGUGAAAUGGAUCAUUUAUGAGCUAACUUAGUUGAAAUGGGUCGUUUAUGAGCUAACUAUGGUCAAAUGGAUCGUUUUUUAGGUAACUAAGGUGAAAUGGGUCGUUUUUUAGCUAACUCUGCUGAAAUGGAUCAUUUAUAAGCUAACUUAGUUGAAAUGGAUCGUUUUUUUAGCUAACUUGGUGAAAUGGAUCGUUUAUGAGCUAAAUUAGUUGAAAUGGGUCAUUUAUGAGAUAACCUAGGUAAGAUGGGUCAUUUUGGAGUUAACCUAGGUGAAAUGGGUCAUUUUAAAGCUAACGUGGGUAAAAUGGAUCAUUUAGGAGCUAAUAUAGGUAAAAUGGGUCAUUUUUGAGCUAACUUGGAUGAACUGGAUCAUUUAUAAGCUAACCUAGGUAAAAUGGGUCAUUUUAGAGCUAACUUAGGUAAAAUGGAUCGUCUAUGAGCUAACUAAGCUAAUUGUGCAAUUUUUGACAUAAGUAAGCUAAGUACAGAUCGUUUUAGAGCUAACUUAGGUAAAAUGGAUGGUUUUGGAGGUCAGUAAGCUUAUUAAGUCAUUUUGGAGGAGAAGAAGCUAAGUCUACGUCAUUAUGGUAAGCAUUGGAGGAAAUAAAGCUAAGUCUAGGUCUUUAUGCAUGUGUUAAGCAAAACACUAGAUAAACUUACCAAGAUCCAGGAGGUGUAGGAGCGGGGUGGCUCGUGUCGGUAGCUGGAGAAGGAUCGUGCGAUGCUUGUCUGGAGUUAUGCUGCACCAAAGAUCAUUUCCAAUGUCUUGUUAGCAUGAUGACACUCAAAUGUUAAGACUAGCAAGUAAUGUCCAUUCAAAUAAAACUCACCGUGGUCCCAGGAGCAAUCACUGGCAUCGGCGGAGCGGUCUGACCUGUCUUCUCGCACACAGACUACACAUUUGGUUUUGACGACUCAGUCAUACUAGUUAGUAAUGAGACAAACACUACAUGAAUGUUUUGGCUAAUCUGCAGAAGAAACUUACCACAAGGAGCUCGUACAUGGCCCUUGCCUGCAUGUCAUUCCGUGCCCUCUCCUCCUCCAGCAUCUUUGUCGUCCUCUCCUCCAACUCCCGCUGCCUCUCCGCCGCCUCCGCCAGAAGUUUCUCCGUUCUAUCUCUCUCACUCUGUAUAGCAGCCUGCAAUACCACUCACAUGACCAUUUGUAAUCAUUGAUGGAAGCGCACACAAUGUAAUGGAGAAAGAUAACUGAGUACGUAUCACUAACCUUGAUGGCGAGUUGCACUGGCCGUUCACGAGGCCUUAUCUCAGGAGCGGAGCUCGACUGGCGCGCCUUGAUCUCCGGGAGAGUGCUAGGACAACGGAUAAGUCCAUCUCCAAUGGCUAUGGAGCCAUGGUACCUCCCACCACCAGAUAUCAUCAACAGCUCUGGAUCAAUGGGACCCUGGCUCGGGUUAAAGUCCUCCCCUUUCCUCGCCUUCCCCUCAUCUCUAUAUCUCACGAGCUUGUUGUGGGAGGAGAUGUUGGUGAAGUUGUUUGCAUCAUCGAGGUCAGACUGAGAGAAAGCCUUGACUUUCUUGUAUGAGGCAGUGUGGGCCAUGGCAUACAGGUCAUACACCUCUGGCACCUUAUCCGCCUUAUUGUAGCGUGCCUGAAAGAGAGAAACAAUGAAAACUAGUAAUUAAAGGGCUCAAGCUAGCAUGAUGAAUGAAUUGCAUGAAUCAUGAAGCAAACCACAUACCCAGUUGCGCCCGAACUGAUAUAAGUUGGAGCUGCCUUGAUGGUGUGGCACACCUUCCAUUUGGGCACGUUUGUCCUUGGCCUCCUUGUGGAGGGCUAGCCAUUGUGGUGAGCACCACUCAUCGACCAACACCUCCCAACAAUCCAUCCGAUCCGCACACCAUCUCGGAGGCGCCUAAGUUAGCAAAUAGAAACUUGAGCGCUACGGCUAAGAAUUACUAAAUGAAGGAACUUAAGUAGAGAAGGCCUUAAGAAUUACCUUCAUGUACUGCUCCUUACUCAGGAACUUAUCGCGGCACGCCGGCUUGGUCUUCUUGAUACCACGCAAGGCGUAGUAGUCUCGAACAGCCUGCACCCGAGCCUCGUGCCGUAAGUUCUGGAGUAGGCGCUUGCAGACGUUCUCGAUAACAUGUGCCGCCUCCUCCUCGUAUCCCUCCUCACACCUGUAGAAUGUCUGCAAUCAAAUGAGACAAUGUUGAUUAGUACAAUUAAUAACUAGCUAGUUGAAGAUUUUUAAAUGUGUAAAGGAGAAAUUACCCAGAACUUUCUGAUCACCAUGUCUGCCCUCGUGACACACACGACACCGUCGAUAAUCUCAUUUGGCGGGGCCGGGGCAGCCACGUAGUGCUCCCAGCUCAAUCCAAGCUCUGGAAGCCGACCCUCACCAGGCAACGUGACAAACCCCGGGAAGUUUUGCCGGCAAAGAACUCCAAGGACGGAGUUGGGCCGGCGGACACUAGGAUGGUGGUCCCAACCCCUGCAGCAUGACAAGGCCAACACAUUAGUUAUUUGAAAAAACGUGAAUGCACAAGGUACAAAAAUAUUAAAUGCACUUACGUACCUCUCCCCAUCAGGGAAAACCAACCACCUCUGCUCGCGGGUCACCGGCACGGACGGGAGCCGUGUAGCACCACGCUGGUAGACGGUGCCCCCCUCCUCCUCCUCAAGAUCAGUCGGCUCCCCGCCAUCAUCAGCAUGGCCACUCGGCUCCUCGGGCUGAUCCGGCCAGGUACCCCAUCCGGACGUGUGCUCCUCCGGGGUCACGUGGGCCGAACUCUCGUGGGCCGAAGACCCGUGGACCGGAGGCUCGUGGACCGGAGUCCGUGUAGCCUCCUCCUCGGACGAGUCCACCCUAGCAGUCACGUGCUCGGGUGAAACGGCUGGGGGUGGCGGCGAGGAAGGCACCGUAGCAGUCACCCUACCUCCUCUCCCACGACCACGUGCCCCACCUCCUCUCUUCCUACCUCGUCCCCUGCUGGGCACCACGGUCGACGAAGAAGGGCCCGGCGGUGUGGCCAUACUGUCCAGCAACGCUCGGCGGAGAGGUGCGUCUGGAAUGGAAGACCUCAGGCCACGCUCCCGACCAGCGCCCACCAUCUUUCAACACCUGCCAUGACAAACAGUAAAUGAAAUUAGUACAACAUAAAAAAAGACCGACAUGAAUAAUAAUAUGUGUAUCACUUAAGUGUAUCAUCAUCAAGUACAACAUAAAAAAAUGUAAUACCUGACACUACUAAUAAUCUCGAUCAGUAUCAUCAAUAAAUGCAUAAUCAUCAUCAUCACUAUAAUCAAUGACGGGCUCAUAGGGUUCAUUGGCAUCAACAUGUGCAAGGCCACCUUGACGUAAUCGGUCAAGCAUUGACAGGUCAUCCGCAGCAGUAACCUCUUCUUGUUCCGGCUCUUCUUGUUCCUCCUCUGGGAUGAUGUCGGAUUCAUUGUCGCUGUCUACUUCAAUGUUUUGGGGUGAAGUAUAGCGGUUCUUGAAACGCUUUUUGGAAAGACGUGUCUCUUGGAAGAAUUCUCCUUCAUAUGUGUCUGGGUUAAUGUGAGGUUCAUAAUCCUCUUCCUUUGGGGGAGAAAGUCUAGCACGUGGCGGCACUUCAUAAACGACAUCCCAACCUUUCAAAUUUGGAUUAGUUUGGCAGGCCCACGGUAGAUAGAAUACUUGGGUCGCCUGUUGAGCCAUAAUAUAGACAUCAGGAACAUCUAAAUGAGUGCUUUGGUUGAUUUCAACUAGCCCUACAUGUUCAUGAGUCCUUCUAGUCUCCUUCGGCUGAAACCAAUAACAUUUGAAGACUACGACAUUCGGUGGGUUUUCACCAUAGAACAGAAGUUCAUAAAUUGCUUCAACUCUCCCAUAAUACUCGGUACCUCCUUCACCGAUAGCAGAUACACAACAAUUUGUUGACUUUCGGUCCGCCAUCGAUAGCUCUUUGCCAUAGGUACGAAAGCGAUACCCGUUGAUGUCGUACUUGUCAAAUGAACGGACCUUAUAGUCAAAACCAUUAGCGACUUGUCUCAAUUCGGCGUCCAUAGACUCUGAAUUAGCCUACAGGUUUAAUAUGGAAGGAUUGUUGCAUUAUCCACAAAUUAGCGAAUGAAAUGAAAUUGUCUAAUAGAAAUUACCGUUUGUUUGAACCAAGAGAUGAAACCGGGAUAGCCACCUCCUUGCUUUGCGAGAAGCUCAUACUCUUCGACGGAAUCCUUUUGGAUCUCCGCUCCAUACGAGAAUAUGGUAACGUAUCGACUGUAUGACAUAUCUAGGAAUAAGAGUAGUUCAAAGGAAAUAGAAGUUGCGAAACAAUGUACCGAGAACUUACUCGAUGUACGGCCGCACUUCUAUCAGGUUGUUGAAGAUAUACAACGAAAUGGUCCGCCAUUCUUCGUUAUCCAAAGAUACUGGAUGUGAAACACUAGCUGGUGCGAGAUUCCCUUUGAAUAGGCUGAGGUUAGAUCCACCCUUUUUAGGCUCGUCAGCAUUGUACCGAGGCUUCGGAUUAUGCAAAUGACGAUUUUUGGCUUCGUAGUGCGCUGUUACGAAGUUUGCCGCCUCCUCUGUAAUGAAUGCCUCAGCCAUCGAUGCUUCAAUUCUACGUUUAUUUUUACAUUUUUGUCGAAGCGUCUUCUGCAUCCUCUCAGUUGGGUAGCACCAACGAUUUUGCACGGGCCCCCCCAAUCUUGCCUCGGUCGGGAGAUGCAAAAUCAAAUGCUGCAUUGGAUUAAAGAAGCCCGGUGGAAAGAUCUUCUCUAACUUGCAGAUCAACUCCGGCGCCAACUCUUCCAUUUCUUCUACCACGCCAGGCGAUAGUUCUUUCGCACAAAGAACACGGAAGAAAUAGCUGAGUUCUGCCAGUACUAGCCAUUCAUCCUCAGGGAUGAAGCCACGCAACAUCACCGGCAUUACCCGCUCAAUCCAUAUGUGCCAAUCAUGACUCUUGAGACCAAAUAUCUUCAGUUUAUCAAGAUUCGCUCCCCUCUUUAGAUUCGCUGCAUACCCAUCGGGAAACAUCAACUGCUGUUGCACCCACAAGAGAAUUUCCCUCAUAGCUGGCCUUCCAAGAUUGAACCAUGCCUUUGGCUUCGUCCAGUUCUGCUUUCCUUUCGGUUCUUUCAUGUUUUGUAACGGCCUAUCACAUAGCGCCUCCAGAUCGACUCUGGCCUUAGUAUUAUCCUUUGACUUCCCAUCUAUGCCGAACAAUGUACCAAAAAGUGCCUCGGCGAUAUUCUUCUCAGUGUGCAUCACGUCGAUGUUGUGUGGGCAAAGGAGGUCUUUGAAGUAAGGCAGAUCCCGUAAGCAUGUUUUGUGAGUCCACGCGUGCUUAGUAUUAUACCCCUUGAAGUACCCUGGACGUUGUGGAUCUGGCUCGAGAGCGUUUAACUGAUCCAGGGUCUGUUGGCCUGUCAAUGCAGGUGGUGCAGAGUUUUUGACAACUCUACCCCUGAUGAAGUUCUUCUUGUCUUUCCUGAACUUAUGGCGAGGAUCCAGGAACUGUCUAUGCAUGUCGAAGCAAGAAUACUUGCGACCGGCCUGAAGCCAACGAAACUCAAGAGCUCCCUUGCAUGUGGGGCACGGGAACCUUCCAUGCACACACCAGCCAACGAAUAGCGCAUACGCCGGCAAGUCAUGCGUCGAGUACAUGUACCAGACACGCAUUAUGAAGUUCCGUUUGCUAAAGGCGUCGUAUGUCUUGAACCCAUUAUCCCAGGCUUCUUGCAAUUCUUCCUUAAGCGGCUGCAUGUACACAUUCAUAUUUUUGCCCGGAUAGUUGGGUCCUGGAAUUAUCAACGUCAGGAAAAUGUUCUUUCUUUGCAUAAUCUGUCCGGGGGGGAGAUUGAGUGGAAAGACAAAUACGGGCCAACAACUAUAUUGGGUUGCCGUCAUACCAAACACACUGAACCCAUCCGUGCUGAUGCCGACUCGAGGAUGCCUCGGAUCUGCCGCUUUGUCAGCAUGUAAUUCAUCAAACUUUUUCCACGCAACACCAUCCGAUGUGUGUACCAUCAUCAGAUUCCCAUCUGCAUCUAGUUCGGUUCUUUUGCCUGUUUUGUGCCAUGUCAUCUGUCUGGCCGUCUCUUCGACCAUGAAAAGACGUUGAAGUCUUGGUACGAUUGGCAUAUACCGAAGAACACUAACGGGGAUUUUGGUCUGUGUCUUCUCACCCAUACCGUUGUCUACCACAAUAUACCUGGAAGACUUGCAAAUGGGACAAUAGUUCAAGUCUGCAUAGUCAAGCCUAAAUAAGGCACAUCCUUUCUCACAGGCAUGUAUCUUCUCAUAGGGCAUCUUCAGUGCACGGAGGAUUUUGUCCGACUGGUACAGGUUUGCAGGCAUUACAUGGCCUUUGGGUAGAAAGCGUCCAAAUACUGUCAUAAUUGCGUCAUAGCAUUCUCUGCCCAAGUUGAACUGAGCCUUCAGAGCCAUUACUUGUGAGAUGGCAUCCAACUGACAAAGCUCAGUGUGCUCGUGGAGCGGACGUUUCGAAGACUCCAACAUUUCAUUGAAGGCCUUUGCAGAUUCCUCCAUCUCCUCGUCCGAAUCCCGAGCAUCAUCAUAGCCUUGCACCAUGUUUUCCAUCCCGGUACCAUGCUCGUCGGUGCGACGACGAUCCACCUCAGCUCGGUCACGUUGGGCAGACUCACCAUGAAAUGUCCACACCGUAUAAUCGGGCGUAAAACCACUCUUCUGCAGGUGUUUGCCCAUUUCAGCCUCUGUCUUCUUUUCCCAAUUGCCGCACCGGAAACAGGGGCACCAGGUUUUAUUUUGGCCAUUUGCAAAUGCGGCUUGCACAAACCCCUUAGUUUUUGUGAACCAUUCAGCGCUCCAUUUGUUCUGACCAGUGUGACCGGUAUACAUCCAAGCACGGUCACUCAUCUUGACUUUCAGAGCUACUGGACACACAACAAUUAUAUAUGUAAUUCACCAUGUAUAUCUUCAUCAGUUGAUCUACUUUGUCAAUUUUAUUACGUCCAUGCAACCUACACUCUAAUAGGUAAUGAUAGGUCCUAAUCCCACCCGUGUAUGUGUAGAUUGGGUUCAUUUUCCCAUGCUAUGCUCCGGAUCCGACGCAAAAUUUCGGCAGCACCUCCCCGCUGUUCUCCUGAUACACGUCUCUGCAAUAAACAGAGAGGAUGUGUACCCGGAGAACAACAGGGGAGGCACUGACGAAAUAUAUGCGUCGGAUCCGGAGCAAAGCAUAUGGGAAAACGAACCCAAUCUACACAUACUCGGGCUGUCCAUGGAUAGCGUUGGACAAUUCGAAAGAAUCAAGGUUAUAAAUAUGCAAAUGCAUGCAUAUUUAUAACUAUGACGCUUACGAACGGGAGACACAUAUUGGUUACGCAUACUGAUGAUUCAAGACACAUAUAUAGCUAGCUAUCAAGUUUCAUCGGAAUAGAUCAAAUAAUUAAUGGGGGAGGAGGACUUGUCAUUUGUGCUCACCCACGAACGAAGGGGCAGAGCUCGUCAAACGCACGGCGAGGUCGUCAAACACCAAACCUCGCAGCCAUGAAACAACUGCACAUUUAAAACUACACGAUCAACACAAUUAUAUAUGAUGUUUUUCAUAACAAAAUCGAAAAAUAUAUGACCUAACUAAUAAUUCACAAAUAUAUGACCCCGUCGGCCUCUGGAAGCCAAAGAACACCUUUUUGGAAGGUUUCGGGGGUCGGGGUGUCCUGUCGGUGUCUCGGGGUCUCGGGGGUCGGUUUCUCGGGGUCUCGGGGUCGGGGUGUCGGGUCGGGGUGCCGGGUCGGGGUCGGGGUGCCGUGUCGGUGUCGGGGNNNNNNNNNNNNNNNNNNNNNNNNNNNNNNNNNNNNNNNNNNNNNNNNNNNNNNNNNNNNNNNNNNNNNNNNNNNNNNNNNNNNNNNNNNNNNNNNNNNNNNNNNNNNNNNNNNNNNNNNNNNNNNNNNNNNNNNNNNNNNNNNNNNNNNNNNNNNNNNNNNNNNNNNNNNNNNNNNNNNNNNNNNNNNNNNNNNNNNNNNNNNNNNNNNNNNNNNNNNNNNNNNNNNNNNNNNNNNNNNNNNNNNNNNNNNNNNNNNNNNNNNNNNNNNNNNNNNNNNNNNNNNNNNNNNNNNNNNNNNNNNNNNNNNNNNNNNNNNNNNNNNNNNNNNNNNNNNNNNNNNNNNNNNNNNNNNNNNNNNNNNNNNNNNNNNNNNNNNNNNNNNNNNNNNNNNNNNNNNNNNNNNNNNNNNNNNNNNNNNNNNNNNNNNNNNNNNNNNNNNNNNNNNNNNNNNNNNNNNNNNNNNNNNNNNNNNNNNNNNNNNNNNNNNNNNNNNNNNNNNNNNNNNNNNNNNNNNNNNNNNNNNNNNNNNNNNNNNNNNNNNNNNNNNNNNNNNNNNNNNNNNNNNNNNNNNNNNNNNNNNNNNNNNNNNNNNNNNNNNNNNNNNNNNNNNNNNNNNNNNNNNNNNNNNNNNNNNNNNNNNNNNNNNNNNNNNNNNNNNNNNNNNNNNNNNNNNNNNNNNNNNNNNNNNNNNNNNNNNNNNNNNNNNNNNNNNNNNNNNNNNNNNNNNNNNNNNNNNNNNNNNNNNNNNNNNNNNNNNNNNNNNNNNNNNNNNNNNNNNNNNGGGUGGGGAUCGGCCGUUAGUAACCUAAACGUUUGCCGUCCGCCCCCCUUUGCCGUCCGCUGACUUGCUCUUUGCCGUCCGCUAGCGGACGGCAAAGAGGUGGGCCGUUAAGUUUUUUUUAACCAGCUCGUCAGUGGGGCCCCCCUCCGCCUUUGCCGUCCGCUAGCCGACGGCAACGAAUCUUUGCCGUCCGCUAGCGGACGGCAAAGAACUGGCUGAUGGCAAAGAAGGUCUUUGCCAUCAGCCAGUUCUUUGCCGUCUGCUUUUGGGUAGCUGAUGGCAAAGAGCUUCUUUGCCGUCCGCUAGCAGACGGCAAAGAGCUGGCAGAUGGCAAAGUAGCCGAUUCCAGUAGUGGCGCUUACCGACCGGCUGUCCCUAAACCUGUCCUAUUUCUCAGGAUAGUCUGGAAGCCCAUAUUUGGCGCCAAGUCAUGUGUGCAUCAAUUUGAUGUCCAGUGGAGUUUGAUUGUUAGUUGUUGGAUAUUGUUAAGGUGUUAAGAUCGGUUCAUUGGGAAAAUAAAAUCUCAUGUAUAUGCGUGCCAUUUAAAAAUUGACCCCAUGCACCUAAACAUAUGAAUUGAUAAUUAUGCUAUCAUUGCAGAAAAAUGACUACCUUACCAUGAAAAGGAGACCAAUAUAAGUUCUUUUAGAGUUGAGUUGUGGGACUUAAUUUCUCUUUGAUUUUAGUUGCUGAAGGAACUCAACGUAAGUUCUUCUAGAAUUGAGUUGUUAGAUUUAAGUUCUCUUUGAUUUGAGUUACUUGUUCAGUUGCUACCUUCCAAACAUGGAACAAUGCUUUCUUUUAUUGUCAAGUCUCUUUGUCCUUUGUUUCUUCCUCCCUUUUACUUCUUUCGAAUGGGACUUCAUGACUUCAUGAGAAUGGCUGCAUUUGCAAGUGCGGUUUAUGCUAAUCCUUUAUCUAUUAUAUACUAAAAGCACAAUAUGAUGUCCUCUUCGAGGCACCGCGUCAAUUCACAUCAACUAAAUUCGGAUUUAGCGUGAGAACCGAAAUCAUAAGGUGAACAUUGAUUUUGGUGGAGCUUUGUUAAACUAAAAAAUAUAAAAUUGUAAGAACUACAUAAUUACAUAAUACAAUCAAUGUGUGGUUUAAUCUUUGAUAUUGACCGAUACCUAGGCUGUUAGAUUGUAACUUAAUUUCAUCUGCUAUAGAAAUAUCUCAAGCUAAAGGGUUGGUUGAUGUAAAAAAAUGCAUUCUACUUGCUUGUGAGCUACAAUGCAAUUGUGUAGACAACUAGACAUAAUUUGUGUCGGAUUGGCAUAAAUAAGUUGUUUUCACUACCUUGUUAAGACUAUAUUUUCCUGCAUGGAUCCAGCUCCACAUUAGAUCUUCUGUAUACCUUCGAGGCGAACCAUUAGUCGACAUUAAGAAAAAUAUUUUAUAGUCGAUUCCAUAAUUUAGUGGCUAUCAUCAAUUAAAGUACAGAAACAAAAUGAUACAUAAAAUUCAUAAUUAUUUACCAAAGCCUUGCUCUCAAGUCUUCACGUCUUAUUUUCAAGAUUAUACUAAUUCCUGGAAGUAGUCAAAAUCAUUAACAACUGCGAUAUAUAUUGGCAACAUUGGCAUCAGAUACAAAUUACUGGCAAUGUCGUGAGUUAAUGUCAUGUACAAAUGAUACAUAUGCUGAUUAAUUUGGUGUUUUGGGAACGCCAUGACUAUUCACCGCCAGACUAAACAUGAUUAAAUAUGUUUAUCAUCUGCAUGAUAUUUUAAUUCACAUAAAUAUUUAUGGUGGCCUAUAGAAGAAUAUUAUGUUUAAUCAUUUGAUAUAAAUGUGUGAGUCAAAAAUUUAUUCUAUUACACUUUCGACACAUUAUAGACUACAACCUCGCAUUUAUAGGGGCCAAAAAUAGAUGUUGUUCUACAAAGUAUUCACUGAAAUUAUCUAACUUGGCCAAAUAUAAAAAAGAUUAUUAAGCCUAGCCAAAGGAAAAUAAUAUAAUCAAUCUGUGUGAAAAAAUAUUCUACAAUUUAUUUUAUUGUUGUUAAGCAACAGAGUGGUAUGCACAAUAGUAAUGGUCGAAGUUAUGUCAUAAAGACUAUAUCCAUGCAUAGCGGUAUGUAAAAUGGAUUUUUUUUAGCUUUUUAUGCACUCUACAAACCAUUUUUAUGGGAAUGCGGGACAAGAAGCAAUACUGUUUUUCAAGGAAUAAGAACCCAUUUUCACCUCCAUGGGAACUUGAACCAGGGAGGUUGGAUUGUACAGCCACUUCCUAACCAAAUGAGCUAGGCCACUUCUUCAAUUGACUAUACAUGAGAAAAAAUAUUCAUUAUGUCAUAUGACAUGUUAACCACUAUGUCCUCCAUCUAAAAUUAUGUCUUUUGAUAUAUUUUCAUAACUUCACACCAUGUUUACUACUCCCUCCGAUCCAUAUUGAUUGUCGUUACCUUAGUACAAUGUUGUACUAAGUCAGGGACAAUUAACAUGGAUCGGAGGGAGUAUAUGCUAAGAUUUAUGAAGCAUGCAAUGGAUCGGAGGGAUGCUUUUGAGUGUGCACUGGAUCUGUCACGCUUAAGAUCGCUAACAGUAUUUGGAGCAUGGGAAUCAUUUUUCAUUUCUGAUAAGAUGAGAUUCCUCCGAGUGCUGGAUCUUGAAGACACAGAGGGUAUAACAGAUCAUGAUCUCCAUCAAAUUUGUCAGCUUUUUCUUCUGAGCUACCUCUCUCUACGAAGAUGUGAUUGUAUUUUACGGUUACCAAAUUCAUUGGGUAACCUUAAGUUCCUGCAGACGCUAGAUAUCAGAGAUACAGAAAUAAUCAGCCUGCCAAGAACAAUCGUCAAGCUUCGGAAGUUACAGUACCUGCGUGUGGGUUUCGUGCCAGAUAUUGAGGAUGGGAGAAAAACAAAUUGGAUUUGUGCAAUAUGGGAACAUGGUUCCUUUUGCUUCCACUUCUGCCUCCAGGUCUUUCAAAGAUUGUUUUUCGGCCAUACAUGCUGCUACUACGUGAACAGGCAGUUGAUCCGAGUUUUAAACGCUUGUGUCUAUUUUGUACUGUGGGGCCUCGUAUGGCUGCUGCUUAUCAUGGGAUUCGGCCAACUGCUUCUUGUAGCGAGCUGCUCAUGGGUACUUAUGAAAGAUGGAUUUGAUGGGCUGCCUAUCUUCUUUUUUAGGCUAACACCUCAUGGUGUCAAGUUUCCAAGAGGAAUACGGCAACUGAAGGCCCUCCACACAUUGGGUGUUGUGAAUAUUGAUGGGGCAGACACCAUUCUUGAAGACCUGCAGUAUCUUACGGAGCUGCGGAAAUUAAGAGUCACAGGUCUCAAGAAGAGCAAUUGCGCGAAAUUCUUCUCAGCUAUUACCGAAAUGGAAUGUUUAGAAUCCUUGUUUGUACGGCCAGAGGGGAAUCCAGGUUUAGUCGGCUGCUUUGAUGAAGUAUCUUCUGCUCCCGAAAAUCUUCGGAGCCUCAAGCUAUACGGCAACCUGAAUAAAUUGCCAAAAUGGAUCGAGGGGCAUCAAAACCUUGGAAAGUUGGAGCUACGGAGCACCAUGAUAUGGGAGCACGAUGAGGCCAUACAAUUCCUUGGGAAGCUACCGAACCUGACCAACUUACACCUAUUGCAGGACUCAUUCAGCAGUAUUCGGGUCUCCUUCAGUUUUUCCUCUGGUGCAUUCCCGAGUCUGCAGGUGUUGGAACUGAGUCUAUGGUCUCAACAACAAUGGAAGGACGACAUAGGGAAGCUACGAGGGGUGAAGUUUCAAGAUGGAGCAGCCCCUAAGCUUGAGGUGCUGCUGUUUUCUGCCCCGCCUUAUGAGAGAAACUAUGGUUUGUUUACUGGGUUAAAAUAUCUCACAAGCCUACAAGAAUUCAUGCUGCACAACAAACGCCAUGAGGAGGACGCCUUCGUCGAGGGCUUGCGGAGAACCCAAGUGGACCCAUUUUGAAGAGGUACGACUACGACUACCACAAGACUGGUUGGUGGUGAAGGGCGGCCGAAGUGGACACCCAAAAAAUUGGGCCCCAAAAUCAGUAGGUAAAAUGGAGAAGGCAUUCCAUUUAAAUUCUCCGAUUCUGCAUGUUGGAAAAAUCUUCUAGAAUUGGAGAUGUUUUCUUCGUUGGUAGAAAGCUCCAUCUGAAAGAUGGCAGUCAUGUAAGAUUAUGGAACCUUUUUUUGUGCACUCAUUUCCCUUAUCUCUUUGAUAUCUGUGUUACCUGAUAAUACUAUCCAAAAAUUUCUUGAGUUCAAGUCAAAAGAAAAAUCCUUGAGUUACAUGGCAAUAUCCUUCCCUAGCCUUUCCCAUUGCUACUCCAUCAACGGCAUCAUCCUUCUUUUCCAGGUUAGUUCCACAUUGAAAGUACCAAAAAAAUUGUGACAAUAAAUUGAAAAUACCAACUUUAUAGUACUCCAGCCCCGGCUUUUUCAAAAAUAAAACAAAAUAACAAAAUAUAGGACAGAGCAGGCAUGAUGUGCCCAUGCACAACCCUGUAUAAAAAACAAAAUUAAUUACCAAAGAAAAGGGCUAAGAAACAAAAGUAGAGGGUGCUGACCAUCAUCAACCCCAUGUGUUCCUUCCCGAAGAAACCGGUGGGAAGAACAAAGUAUGGUGGGUGGUGCAGAAGCAAACCGUCACUCGUUGUGAAGCUUGUCAAGAAUUGUGCACCGUCCAAAAGGACGCCUUCGAUUAUUUGUGUCAACGCCCCUCCUCCAACGCCUCAGAUUCCUAAUUAAGAAAGAUACCAAAAAUGCCUAGUGAGCACCCUUCAUCAGUGUAUGAACAGGGUAGCAUUCAUUAAAUGUAACAGAGUUCAAUCAGUUUCUGGUGUACCAGAUUGGACUCGUAGCCUGCCGAUGACACGCUGCUGACAUGUCAGUCGUCAACUGAAACUUGGCUCCUCUCAGAUCAACUCGUGCGCAAUCUCAAGGCUCGCAACGAUGUCUGAUAUAGCUGGCUGGUCCUCCUCGUGAAAUUUCAGGCAGCGUCCUGCAGUCACCCUUCAGCGGCUGCAGCUGGCAUGGCGUUGGCUCUGGUACAAGUCGCCUGUGCAGCAACUUCUUAAUAUCACCGGCCUCGAUGAUGUGGAGCGCGAAGGAUGCCAGAUCUGCAUUCAUCUCCACCUCCCCUUGGAAAAUGCCUUAUUCCCUGUAAGAACCUCGAACAUCAUCACGCCCAAGCUAUACACGUUGCUUGCCUCUUCGACUUGUGUGGAGGUACUGAAGGUCGAUGUACCCAAUUGUGCCUCUAACGGUGACAUCCAACCAUGACACCUCACUCUCCAUGCCCCAGAUGACCGACAAGCCAAAAUCUGAAAUAUGCGGCACCCAACUGACAUCGAAAAGGAUGUUACUUGACUUGAUGUCACGGUAGAUGAUCAGAGGGUUGGCAUGGUGUGGACUACAAUGUACCCUCUCCUUAAACCGGAUAGUUUAGUCUAUUUUACGUGAAAAAAAUUAAAAAGAUAACCCGGUCAAUUUCAUUUCUUAUGAGACUGACAAGACAACCUGACCCAAAAACAGUUCAAGAGGAACUCUACCUCCAGGUUUUCAGCCGCAGCCAACUCUGCUUUAUGGAAUUAUGGUUUCACCAUACAAUACUAUAACUCAGCAAAGAAACAAGGAAAAAUCAGGCCGAACUGCCAACAUCAAUCCAUGCGCAGUGCAUCCUACAGCAGAAUUCUAAACUACAGCAACAUAUAGGUAUUUGGACAUCAUCAUUUUUCUUUCCUGAAGAAACUGCUUGCACGGAGAGGAAGAAAGACCAUCAGCCGUUCUCCAACCUCUGCACCAGUGGCCCCAGCCACGACUUCGAUGCAACAUUUCACUCACAUCUAUUUCCAAAUAAAUUAAACAUAGGUUUGGCUAUUUCGGAUUGGAUCAGCAUCACAGUGUACAAAUGGAUCCAGGCCCCAAAAUUCCGGGGAAAAUAAUUCCGACCACCGAACUAGAGAGAUAAUCAAAUACUCAAUCAACAAAUCCAGGUCCUCUGUUCCUAAAUAUAAGUCUGUAUGUAAUCCGUGUUGAAAUCUCUAAAAUGACUUAUAUUUAGGAACGGAGGGAGUAGUUCAAAAUCAAAAGUACCAACUUUAUACCAGAUCUAGUCUUAUUUUUAUCUAAAAUCCUAACUUUCCAAAAUAAAAGAGAGAUAACAAAGCUACCACUUUCAGGAAUGAAUGGCUUUGAAAGAGAAGCUACACGAAUAAAGUAGGGUACUGUACCCAUGCACAGCCCCAGGGUAAAAAAGAGAAACAAGAUAUAUUACAAGAAGAAAGUGCUGAAAAAACAGAGUCAGUGCUUACCAUCAACCCCAUGUUCCUUUCCUAAGAAGCCACUAGGAAAAUCUAAGUAGGGUUGGUUGUGAAGAAGCAAACUAUAGUGGGAUCCAUCCCGUCAUAAACCACCCGCGCUAACAAGCGCCCGUAGAUUUACCAAAAGUGGGCAUUACCUAUGUGCAGUAACGGGAUGCUCAUCGGGUGAUUGAAGCACAUGACGGUCACAAGUGACCCGAUGUAGGGUGUAAUGCACUGUUCCAAAGGACGCCUUCAAAGAUCGGUGUCAACGCCCCUCCUCCAACACCUCAGGUGGUGUAUGAACAUGAUUCAAUGCAUUAACGUGAAUAGAAAUCAGUUUGUGGUGUACCGGAUCGGACCGGGAGCCUGCUGAUGACAUGUGGUGAGUAACUCAUCAACUGAAGCUAGCUCGUCUCUGGUGAUUAUCAAUUUGUAUGCCAUCUCAGUUAAGCUUCAUGCACUAGUCAAUGCAACCAAAAGUCCAAACUGAUGGAAAGGGUUAGUGCAAUCCACAUAUACUGCAACACCCCCUUUCACGUGUGACGGGGAAGACAAGUCAACACAUCUAACCGGAAGAGAGCGACGGCACGCGAAACUCACGUAUGACUCAAGAGGCCUCUACGUGGACAUAAAGGAGGGCUACCAUCAAGUUUUAAUAAAAUGCGAAGCCAGGACAUGAACUCAAGACAUUAGCUCUGAUACCAUGUUAAGCUUCAUGCACUAGCUAACGCAACCAAAAGUCCGAACUGAUGGAAAGGGCUAGUGCAAUCCACAUAUACGGUAACAAUCUUGAGGUUGGCAACCAUGUCUAAUAUAGCCGGCUGGUCCAUCAUGUCCAACUUUAAUAAAAAAUAUCGACAUUCGAAAAUAAAAUGAGAAUAUAUAGGACAGGGUCUACACUACGAAUGGCUUUAUUUAUUUAUUUUUGCAGGGAUACACUAUGAAUGUCUUUGAAAGAGAAUCUAAUUCCUCUCUCUCAGUUUACAAGGCGUGCGCGUACCUCUAAGUCGUUAAUUUGACCAACCUAAUAGAAGUCAUAUAUUACAAAAAACAUACCAUUAUAAACUUCAGAUGUUCUAGUUUCAAACGGUAUAAUUUUUGUGUUAUAUAGUUUAUAUUACGGUAAUAAAAUUGGCAACCUAGGUAUACGCACAGGACUUGUAAACUGAAACGGAGGGAGUACACAAAGUGGGACUACUGUGACCAUGUGCAACUCAAGGCUAAAAAAGCAAAGUGGGGUGGUGACCAUCAAGCGGGUGUGUUCCUUUCCUAAUAAACUGCUGGGGAAAACAUAGUAGGGUUGGUGGUGAGGUAGCAAACUGAAACUACACUGGGGGGCCAUCCUAGGCUCUUCCUAAACUGCCAGCAACAACAAGCGUUAUAAUGCACCUUCAUCAGUGUAUUAAGAGAACCACCUUCCGAGGACGCCUUCAACGAUUGUUGUCAACGCCCCUCCUCCAAGUCCAACACCUCAGAUUCCUAAUUAAGAGAUCACAAAGUGAGUAGUGAGCCCCCAUCAUCAGUGUAUGAACAUGGUUGAAUUUAUGUGAACAGAGUUCAACUAUUAGUUUGUAGUGUACCAGCUCGGAAUGGUAGCCUGCCGAUGACAAGCUCCUGGAGUGUGGUGAGUCCAAUGGGAGGUCAAUUUGUUCGACGAAGGGCCACAAACAUGGCUCGUCAACUGAACCGUGCUCGUCUCUGCAGAUUAACUCAUACGCCAUCUCGAGGUUGGCAACAAUGUCUGAUAUGGCCGGCCGGUCCUUCGCAUCCAACUUCCCGCAGCACCAUGCAAUCUGCGCCACACGUUUCAUCGCCUGCAGCUGCCAAGGCGUUGGCUCCGGUACAGGUCGCCUGUCCAACAACUCCUCAAUAUUACCGACUUCAAUGAUGGGGAGUGCGAAGUCUGUCAAAGGUCCACCUGUCCCAUCAUCCUUCAAUUGAGAAUAUGCACUUUUCCCUGUCAGAACCUCGAGCAUCACCACGCCCAGGCUGUACACGUCGCUCGCCGGCUUCAGA